Molecule: ribosomal RNA, 465 nt
Filed under: uncultured bacterium
Lineage: Bacteria
Description: partial 16S ribosomal RNA
Rfam family: Bacterial small subunit ribosomal RNA
Source: RNAcentral
GACGAACGCUGGCGGCGUGCUUAACACAUGCAAGUCGUACGGUAAGGCCCUUUCGGGGGUACACGAGUGGCGAACGGGGGAGUAACACGUGAGUAACCUGCCCACAACUUUGGGAUAACGCUAGGAAACUGGUGCUAAUACUGGAUAUGUGCUCCUGCUGCAUGGUGGGGGUUGGAAAGCUCCGGCGGUUGUGGAUGGACUCGCGGCCUAUCAGCUUGUUGGUGGGGUAGUGGCCUACCAAGGCGGCGACGGGUAGCCGGCCUGAGAGGGUGACCGGCCACAUUGGGACUGAGAUUCGGCCCAGGCUCCUACGGGUGGCAGCAGUGGGGAAUGUUGCUCAAUGGGCGCGAGCCUGAUGCAGCAACGCCGCGUGCGGGAUGACGGCCUUCGGGUUGGAAACCGCUUUCAGCAGGGACGAAGCUUUUUGUGACGGUACCUGCAGAAGAAGCACCGGCUAACUACGUG